CCACACCACUGCCCCCCACCCCCUACUGCACCCAGUGCCGGGGUAACAGACAUGAGCCAUGGUGCCCAGCUGGGCGCUGAGGAUCUGGACCUAAUAAGCCAUCCUCCAGCCAACCCACUUUCAAUAUACAGAGUAGCAGAGCAUUCUGAAUUUCAUCCUUUUGGCUCAAUACGACUUGGAGGUGGUUCCAGGUAAGUGCAUUGACAUUGAGCCCUUGGGAGUAGGGAAAAAGAAAAGUUCCUGAAAAAGAGAGGCUGGUGCUGUGCUCCAUAUUCUAGCACUGGAGGAGACAGACAAGCAGAUCCCUGGGACUCAGUGGCCUAAGUGACAAGCUCCAGGCCAAGAAGGGACAAUCUCUAAAGAAUGACACCCCAAAAUUAGCCUGUACAUGCACAUACACACAUGAGAAAGAGAGAGAGAGAGAGAGAGAGAGAGAGAGAGGGAGAGAGAGAGAGAGAGAGAGCUUUCUUCUACUGCUUUCUUUACACCGAACUCUGUUAUUUCCAGUUCUUCUGGUCCAGGGUCCAGUCCUAAGAAUGAUAGAUAACAUCAAGGCCCUGAGCCAAAAACUCAGUAAACUCAAAGCUGAGGCUUAGAUUUACAUACUAAUUGGACCUUAUUUGCAUGUCCCUGGCGCCUACCAGAGUAACCUCCUGCAGCAGCUAGGUUAGAGGUGAGAUGGUUGGGGGAGGGGGCUGCCAGAGCUUGGCCCUGAGGCUAGCUCUUAAUAAUGCACUUCAAACAAGGCUAUUUGUGCUCUGCCUGGCAAGAAGGGAGGGAGCUAGCCUCUCUCUGUGUGGCCUUGGAUUCCCAAAGGGCCUGUCUGUUCCCCUCUCACCUGUCCCCCACUCUUAGAGAUCACAAGUUCAGGCCCCUACCCUGGCCCCAACAAAGAGCCAACAAAGUCUGAGCCAUGAUGAACUGCCAGGGAAGCCCUUGGGAUUCAAGAGACUGGGCAGCCAUUUGAACACACAGCAUCCAUGGAGGCCAAUUUUUCCCCGGGUGAGGCCAGCCAUUCAUUGCAAAGAGGCACAAAACCCUGGGAACUCGGCAACUGUGCUUAGACUCGGACAUGUACCUGUUCCACUACAUUCCAGCUGUUUGUAACAGCCUCAUCAGAGCAGGGCAUGGAAUUCUCUCGGUGGCCCUAGAAGCCCAGUUCUACUAUUCUCCGUAACCUAAGAAAAAAGGGGAAUCCUGCCUAGGGUCCCAGAGCGGCAAGGCAAGCCAGAUCUGAAGGUGGGAGGCUGAUGCUCUCUCCGACGCCCUCUGUGGAUGGAACACCCUCUGUGCACCCUGAUGUGCCUUGCUCGGGCGGAGGCAGCAGUGAAACACACAGAAGAGGACUCAGUCCCACCUCAGGGAGCUCGGAGCCUGGAGGGAAGUGCUGAUGCAAAUGAGCAGCACACACCAAGUUGGUAAAGCUCAUUACAUUUAAAGGAAGGUCAAGAAUGAACCAAAGUCAUCUGUGGGGACAAAGGGGUGUCAAUCUUGGAGAGGCCCCGGAAACCUCUGCAGCACUGGAAAGGGUCCUGACCUUUCUCUAAACAUCUGAGAUGCCCAGGUAGGAAGUCAGCACGCAGGCACAAACAACAGAAACCUUUCAAGGAACUAGGAACACGCACAUGUCUGGAGCUGGCAGCUUUAUGUCAGUAUGCCUGCUGGAGGAGAGACUGCACGGAUCGAAAAUCUCCAUCACCCUAGUCCACACCAGCCAGUAGCUUCCAGAGCCUGAGAUGCCCAGCUGACCACAAAGGGGCAGAAACCAGGACCAGCAAAGCCUGAUUCACUUACAAAUCAUAAACAAAUGGCAAGUGGUUCUUCUAAUCCACUAAGUUGCUAGAGGGUUUUCUGCAGAACGACUGUGGCGGUAGAUGAGUGCUGCCAUGGGGUUGCAGGACCCCUGCGCCUCACACAGCUGGGGAGGGAGUUAAAUGUGGUUCUAUGUCAAAGUGCUUACUGAAUGCUCAACCCCAGGCAACAUUCCAUGAAUGUCUAUUAUUUUUGGUGUGAGAUGCUGUGUACCAUGUGGAGAUCAAAACCAUGACUUGCCUCCACCUGAGCAUCCAGUCAGCUGCUUAUGAAACAUAUGUUGCCCACCUACAGGAACCUAGGCCCUGCAGAGAAUUUCUGACAAACACUUGUUAAAGUUAUAUCAUCAGUGGGCACUCUCAGAAAGUAGCUAAGAGGAGGUGUGUGGGGUUUGGUAGACAUAUGGUCAUGUUGGACUCACCUACCAAAUAUGGGCAACCUGCCACAAGAGAGCACAAUGUCUUUUUUGAAGAGAAACUUGGUGUACCCAGCUUCCUGAAGGAUGUUCUAGCUCGCCUCUAGAAAAUGCUGGGCUUUCCUGUAGCUGAACUUGAGGGUGGAAGCAGUUGCCUUUGGAGGCCAUCCUUACACCCACAGCAAACCACUUGGAGCUCAAUGGGUCCUGAAGGGUUGCCAUGCUUCUUGGCUCUCACUGAAAUUCUAAUUUCAGUCUCUGCCAUGGAGACUGUAAUACCAGCACUGGGAAGGAAGGGUGAGGCAGAAAGAACUUGACUUUAAGGUCAGCCUGGGCUACAUCUCAAGGCCCUGCUCAAAAACCAACCAACCAACCAACAAAUCAACCAACCAACCAACCAAAAAAACCUAACUUGAUACAUGACUCAUGGAUUUUUUUUGCACCAAUACAACAGGUUAUAUGUACAAGAAUUUUUAUUUUUGUAUCUUGUUUGUACUGGCAAAAACUGAAAGCAGCCAAAACUCCCACCAAUAAGACAUAGUUGAAACUGUGAUAUUCAUAUACCUACAGAUUACUAUAUAUUUCUAUUUUAAAAUAAACUGAAUUUAUUUUUUGCCCUAUGGGGUUUAUUUCUAUGACACUUUUUUUGUUUUGUUUUUUGUUGUUUUGUUUUUGUUUUUUGUAUUUUGUUUUUUCGAGACAAAAUACAAAUAUUCUCUGUAUAGCCCUGGCUGUCCUGGAACUCACUUUGUAGACCAGGCUGGCCUCAAACUCAGAAAUCCGCCUGCCUCUGCCUCCCAAGUGCUGGGAUUAAAGGCAUGUGCCACCACUGCCCAGCCGACACAUUUUUUAAAAAGAAUUAUUUUAUGUGUAUGGUUUUCUGCCUGUAUGUAUCUGUGUCCCCAUGUGUGUCUGGUGUCCACAGAGCCAGAAGAGGGAGUUGAACCCUCUGGAAUUGGAGUUACAAAUGGUUGAAACCAGCAUGUAGGUACAGGAACUCAAACAUGGGACCUCUGCAAGAGCAGCCAGUGCUCUCAACCACUGAGCCAACUCUCCAGCUCCCUUAUGAUAUAUUUAUUGUUAAGAGAGAAUCUAACUGUACUAAUAACUAAUAAUCUUAACUUAAAAAACCACUUAAGUGUUUAAAUAUGAAUGUGGUUUAUGCAUGUGUGGAGAAGGUAUAGAAGACAACUACGCAUAGGAUUAGACAAGGCCUGCGGGGGGAAGAACUAUUACAGCGGGUUCCUGUACACCCCCCCUUCUUCUCUUUUCUAACCUAAGACUCCACUUCCUCCCAUCCACUACACACAGGAUUUUUUCAUUUGAGAGUAAGUUACAUGUGCCAUAGCACUUUACCUCUAGAUGUUUCUGGGAAAGUUUCCUAAGUGUGAAGACAUUCUAUCACAUAACCACAGCACAGCAUCAACCUCAUUAAACUGAACUCACACUAGGUUUGUUUGUCAUCACAAGAGAACUGAUUUAGAAAUCAGAAGAGGCCGGGUGUGGUGGCGCACACCUUUAGUCCCAGCACUCGGGAGGCAGAGGCAGAGGUAGGCAGAUUUCUGCCUUUCCAUUCAUUUAUUUUGGAGGUGUGUACUUGAAAUGUAUCAUAUAUACACACAGAGAUCAGGGAACAACUUGUAGAAGUUGGCUCAAAUCUGUUUACAUCUUUUCGAUCCUGGAAAGCAAUCACGACCACGGGCUUGCUUGCCAUCAAGGGCAUUCGUCCGCUACUCUGUCCUGCUGGCCUGAGCAGGGAGGAAAGGGACAAAGACUAAUAAGCAGCUUCUCCCGGGAGAAGAGACAUGAAGGGUGGUCCCUCUGCUCUCUCUGAGCAAGGGACAAAAGCUGAAGUCCUGGGGCUGCUGGGUCCCGACCCCUUUGGGAGUCAAACAACCCUUUCACAGGGGUCACACAUCAGUUAUCUACAUCACAAUUCUUAGCAGUAGCAAAACAUUAGGAAGGUUGAGAGCCACUGGCUUAGAAUCGAGCUUUGAGCUUGUAUCCCAUUGCUUGCUGACCGGGCCAUGCUGGUUAUUGUGCAAGCCCCUAUCUUGUCUCUUCCUUCCCAGCCCUGGGUUCACAAGUGUGCACCACUACAGUCAGCUUACUACAUUGGCAGUGGAGCUAGAACUCAGGUCCUCGUGCUGUAGGCAAACACUUUACUGACUGCACUACCUCCAUCUUCCCAGACUGUGGCACCUUUCAGAUGUGACAUGUACCUUAAUUUAUAAAUGAACACUGCUGGCAGUUAGAAACUAGCAAUAAAAUGUACACAUGCUCUGACCUAAGAACUCCACUUCUGGGAAUCCAUACAGAAGUAAAAAGCCCAAUCCAUAGUGAAAAAACAAGUACAAUGGGCUGGUGAGAUGGCUCAGUGGGUAAGAGCACCCGACUGCUCUUCCGAAGGUCUGAAGUUCAAAUCCCAGCAACCACAUGGUGGCUCACAACCAUCUGUAACAAGAUCUGACGCCCUCUUCUGGGGUGUCUGAAGACAGCUACAGUGUACUUACAUAUAAUAAAUAAAUAAAUCUUAAAAAAAAAAAAAACAAGUACAAAUAUGUUAACUGCAAUACACAUGUGUGUAUACAUUAUGUGUGUGUGUGUGUUAAAUAAAUUCAAGUGCCUGACACUGGGUUGAAGGUAGAUAUCAGGAAGGCAAUUAGAGGCCGACAUAGCAACUUGAGAGAGCUACCCAAGGAAGAAUGGCAAGUGUCCUAGAACAUUUAGGACAAGAUGCCAGACUGGGUGACUGAAGCCACAGACAUUUGUAGGAACUUCAUGUUUGAGAUGUACCGUCUGAGGAGGGCUUACUCACUGCUUCAGUGACAGAACCAACCCAGUGUCCUCUGUCCCAGGGGGGAGGGGGGAAGGAAAACCCAUCUGUUUAUUUGUUGGGACAAGGGUCUUGACCCAGCCUGGCCUUGGGGUUAUUGGCACACACCACCAUGCUCUGCUGUGUUGUCCUGAUCUCACAAUCUCUGAGAAAUCCAUCUCUCUCUCUCUUUUUUUUUUUUUUUGGUUUUUCGAGACAGGGUUUCUCUGUGUAGCCCUGGCUGUCCUGGAACUCACUCUGUAGACCAGGCUGGCCUCGAACUCAGAAAUCUGCCUGCCUCUGCCUCCCAAGUGCUGGGACUAAAGGCGUGCACCACCAUGCCCGACAAUCCAUCUCUUAAUAUCAUAAAAUGUGAUUUGUUGUAGGGAGCACAGGCAUCAAGAACAUAUUGGGAGUGAGCGGGGGGGGGGGGGCAGGGAAAAGGAAUAUUUAGUGACAAAACUUGGCUAGCACAAGCCAAGUCCUGGCUGGAGUUCCCAGUGCAGCUAACACAUUCAGCUACCUGAACACAGCAUUAGAGCCUUGCUGCUUCUCCACCUGCCUUCUUCUCGGUCCCUUCCCUUUUUCCUUUUGAUAGCCACGGCUUGUGCUACAGUGCAGUGGUCUCCCUAGAGUCAGCACAACAUGUACAAACCCUAUACAUGCAAUGUACUUGAGGCUGUGACCAGAGCUUCCAUAGGCCUAUCUGACCCUCAUAGCCCACUCUACUGACUACCCAGGCAGCCUGGCAAACCUUAGCCGGACACUCCAUCUUUGUCCCAGUCCUGACCCCGUGGGCAGUGCAGGGCCAGAAACAGCUCAUGUGCUCACUCCUUACGGGAUCCCUAGGUGAGCUGCCAGGUCGCUUUGCACAGGUCCAAGGAGCCGGUACGUAGGAGCUGAGGUUGGAAAGCAAACACAGGCCUCCCUCCAGCUUCUUAGCUAAGCUACUAUCCAUCUUGCUCCUCAGCUCACAGAAACCAAAAUUUUCUAGUUUUACUUAUUUUUGCAGGGGUCCUCUUAACACAGGGAACCCUGUAAACAAUGGAGGACUCUAAAUAUUAAGAGUUUUCUUCACUUAUCCAGGCAGAGAGGAGGAGGUGGGCAUGAUGUGACAAUCUGUGAUAAAUAGAAAUGUUCUAGGCAAGAAGAAGAGUGAACAGAGCAAGCGGCAAAGCUCAGCUGGCUCUGCUGGCCCAGUGCCUGAGGCAGCACCGCCUCCCGGCUCAGCCAAGGCAUGAGCAGUUCUGAGCACAGACCCCUCUCCAGGUGCAGUCAGAGCAAGUAAGACUGCUGUGGCUUUUGACACCAGUGUGCUAAGCUUUGAGAGGAAGUUCUGA
Molecule: long non-coding RNA, 6382 nt
Organism: Mus musculus (house mouse)
Lineage: Eukaryota; Metazoa; Chordata; Mammalia; Rodentia; Muridae
Product: predicted gene, 46768
Exons: 3
Source: RefSeq, a predicted model, not a curated record